This is a long non-coding RNA of Felis catus (domestic cat), 924 nucleotides long. RefSeq lists it as uncharacterized. The transcript is spliced from 2 exons. Lineage: Eukaryota; Metazoa; Chordata; Mammalia; Carnivora; Felidae. The record is from RefSeq and is a predicted model, not a curated record.
CACCCAGAGUAACUUCACCUGGAGACACCUCCUUUGUGAUGUCACAGAACGCCUGGGAUCUGCGGUCCACCUGCCGGGGUGAAACCCCAGCUAUGCUGCUCCCCCAACACACACCCCCACCCCAGAUGCUGCAAACGCUGUGAUUAGCGACUCGUGCCUGACCAGGAGCUCAUAGCUGUGCUGCGUAGACAGUCAAGGUUCUGGGAGAAGGCCCAUCAUCAACGAGGCCUGAAGAAUGAUCAACGUUAGGUGGGGAGACGUAGGAGCAGCGUCCCAGGCAGCAAGAAUGACACGUGUAAACACCUGGUGGCACAGGAAGUGUGCUGCAAAUUGAGGGCAAAGAAGGAACACACGUGCUGGUGGGACAGGCUGGGCAGGUCACGGAGCGGGGACAGCACGCCCAAGGGUUCAGGUCUGAUCUGGGGACAGGGGGAGCCGCCAGAGGGGCCUCAGGCUGGAGCAGUGAGAUUAUAGGCAGGUGACUCUUGGUGUCCAGGAGAGGAGGGGGGCAGGGCACAGUGACAACCAGGGAACCAGGUCUGGAGCUGCAGCAUUAAUCCUGGCAGGUGGUGACGGUGGUUGGAGAAAAGGGAGGGUGGUUGGAGAUUCAUUGAGGAGGUAGAAUCGUGGACAGAGUCCACGGUUCUGGAGGCUGGCAGCCCAAGAACAGGGAGCUGGUGUGGUCAGGUUCUAGUGAAAGCCCUCUUCCAGGAUUGCAGAUGCCACCUUCUUGUGCCCUCCCGUGGCGGCUGGAGGAGGAGACAGAGAACUCUUUGCUCUCUCUUCUUAAAAAGGCUACAUUCCUUUAUGCGGCUCAGUAAUAUUCUACUGGACGGAUGGACCAUAUCUACCUAUCAUCACUUGAUGAACACGCAGGUAGUUUUCCCUUGUGGCUGCUGUGAAUAAAGCUGUUACCAACAUCCA